Long non-coding RNA from Haemorhous mexicanus (house finch), 2311 nucleotides. RefSeq lists it as uncharacterized. The transcript has 5 exons. The record is from RefSeq and is a predicted model, not a curated record. NCBI's taxonomy places the organism in Eukaryota, Metazoa, Chordata, Aves, Passeriformes, Fringillidae.
CUCGCUUUUGCCAAAGGUUAGGAAAAGUGACCCUUUGAAGUAGUUUUCCAUAAGGCUCUCUCACUGUCGGCCAGAAGUUGUCAAGCCUACCGGGAAGGGGCACCUAGGAGGCCAAAAGAUUCUCUGCCUGGUUUUCCUGGCUGCUUCCCGUGAUGUUUGAUCCAAGGCAGCACUCGAGCUCUCUGUCCCCCAGCCACAUUGUGGAGCCUGACCAACGCGUUUGGAUUCUUGCAGCCACCCCGGGCACUUCAGGGCCCAGCACUCCAGCUGGCAGUGCAGCUUGUGCAGCAUCGACGGCCUGCAGCUCAGCACAGAGCGCACCUGGGCAGGAGGGAUGGUCGCCAGCAGAUCUAGGCCUUGCCGUCGAGAAGAUGAUUCGGGAGAUCAGGAUGUCCCUGUCUGAAAGAUCUCCCUCUGCUCAGGACAAUGUCAGUGUUGCCCCCGAUUCCUCAGGAGGGGAGCCUGUGGACAGAGCUGCAGCAGAGGAAGCUGCAUCUGGCACCGAGAGCUGCAGGAACGGUUCCCAGGAGCCCGAGGAGCCUGAUGCCAUCUGACCAACAUCUCCAGGAGGGCUGCCCUGCGUGGCAGGAGGAGACAGAGGAGAGCCCGUGACCAUCGGGCAGGUAGAAUUCCUCUGCUUGUAAAUAUGUUUAUAGAUUCCUAUGAUUUUACUUAUCAAAGGGUAUAGUUCUGUUUACAGAUUAGAGUGUUCUGUUUAUAUGUGCAUAUAUUGAUAGAUCUGUAGAGUUAAAUGGGGAUAUGUAUUCAGUUAGACAAGUGAUAUAUUUUAUUAUAAAUUUACCUGUAUAGAUUUUCAGAGUUUAAAUUUUUUUGUGUAGAGUCCAAAAAAAAAAUAUAGAUGAAGUUUCAUUUAUAAAUGAGUAUAGUUAUAGAGUAAGAAGGAUAUGAAUGUUUAGAUGAAUAGGUUGCGGUUUGCCUAGGCCUAGGCUGCAUUUUUACCUCUUUCCCCCUUCACCUGCCUUUCUCACCUCUUGCUUUUCCCCCUGUGCCCCCUGUGUCCCCUCUCCCUGUGCUGGGUCCGAGCUGGCGGCCGGGCCGGCCAGAGCAGCACUUCCAGCCCCGGCUGUCCCUGGAGCGGUGGGAGCUGCCGCUGGCCCCAGGCACUGUCCCCUGAGGAGCUGCUGAAGGACGCUGCAUGGAAGACCUUGAGGACAGCCAGAGCCUGAUGGGAGCCAGCAGAGAGAAGCUGAAGGCCAGCAGCAGGAGCAGGGAAUGGGGACCUGCUGCUGCCACCCUGGAGAGAGCUUGGAUGCCCCAUCUGCUGUCCCUGUCCAGGAGAGCUGCUCUGCACGGGAGGAGAAGACCGAGGGAGAGGCUUUGAAGAUGAGGCAGCUGGGAUCCUUCUUCUUUUUGUGCUGUUUAAUUAUAUAUGGACUAGCAUGGAGUUACUGAUAAUUACAUGCAUAUUUUCAUAUGUAGCUUGCUAUUUGUAUUGGUAUAUUUCUGUAUGUAUCUUGUUAUUUUUAUGAAUGUACUCUCUAUGUACGUAUAGAUAUAUACAUACAGGUUUGCAGUUACGUAUUUAUGUAAAUACGUAUCUACUUUUUUAUGUAUGUUGUAAUAUCUGUGUUUAGUUAUUUUUCCAUAUGUGUACAGCUUUGUAGGUGUUUAUAUUUAUCAAUGUAGUUUUCAGUAUAUAUCUUUUAAAACUAGUGUAUUGGUAUUUGUAUUGGUACAGAUGCCUAUUUUUAUAUUUUUAGUUGUAUAUUGAUGUAUUUGUAUUUAAAUAUAUUUACAUAUGUUUCCAGAUGCAUAGCUGUAUAUUUGUAUGGAUACAGUUGGAUUGGUAUUUAGACUGGUACAGUAAUAUUUGUAUAUUUAAAAAUAGUUGUGGUUGAAGUAUUUAUAUAUAUAUUUUAUAUAAUCUAUAAUAUUUAAUCUAUAUUUACAUCGUUAGAUUGUUAUAGAUUUAUUUUUAUAUAUGUUCAUGUAUGUAUGUAUUAAAUUCUGUUUAUAGAUGUAUAGUUGCAUAACUAUUGAAUUCUUGUUGGGGUCUUUAGAGAGGGAAUGCAUAUUUUUGUAUUUCUAUAUGGGGUCUGCAUUUGUAGUAAUAUGUAAUAAAUUAAGUUGUUAAACGCCUAAUUGAUCUUUGUGUAUAGUGAGUUGCGUAUAGUGGAGGCUAGCAAUAAAUCAAGUUUGGUUAAGUGAACUUGGUUUUUGUAUAUUUUUACAUAGACAGGUUGUAAUAAUCUAAUAAAUUGCUGGUUUUACCCUAAAUUGAGAUCUGUUUAGUUCUGUAUUGUCAGCAUGGGUGUAGCAGUUUGUAAUAAAUGACAUUUUUCAACUGAAA